CUUGACAUCCAGAGAACUUGGCAGAGAUGCUUUGGUGCCUUCGGGAACUCUGAGACAGGUGCUGCAUGGCUGUCGUCAGCUCGUGUUGUGAAAUGUUGGGUUAACGUCCGCAACGAGCGCAACCCCUAUCCUUUGUUGCCAGCGAUUCGGUCGGGAACUCAAAGGAGACUGCCGGUGAUAAACCGGAGGAAGGUGGGGAUGACGUCAAGUCAUCAUGGCCCUUACGAGUAGGGCUACACACGUGCUACAAUGGCGCAUACAAAGAGAAGCGACCUCGCGAGAGCAAGCGGACCUCAUAAAGUGCGUCGUAGUCCGGAUCGGAGUCUGCAACUCGACUCCGUGAAGUCGGAAUCGCUAGUAAUCGUAGAUCAGAAUGCUACGGUGAAUACGUUCCCGGGCCUUGUACACACCGCCCGUCACACCAUGGGAGUGGGUUGCAAAAGAAGUAGAUAGCUUAACCUUCGGGAGGGCGUUUACCACUUUGUGAUUCAUGACUGGGGUGAAGUCGUAACAAGGUAGGCGUAGACGU
RNAcentral lists this ribosomal RNA (529 nucleotides) under uncultured bacterium. RNAcentral's name for it is "bacterial SSU rRNA". It matches the Rfam family "Bacterial small subunit ribosomal RNA", at positions 980 to 1509 of the family's 1533-position model. The record is from RNAcentral.